This 835-nucleotide ribosomal RNA is filed under the name uncultured bacterium. RNAcentral's name for it is "bacterial SSU rRNA". It matches the Rfam family "Bacterial small subunit ribosomal RNA", at positions 583 to 1425 of the family's 1533-position model. The record is from RNAcentral.
GUAAGUCAGUGGUGAAAGCCCAUCGCUCAACGGUGGAACGGCCAUUGAUACUGCUAAACUUGAAUUAUUAGGAAGUAACUAGAAUAUGUAGUGUAGCGGUGAAAUGCUUAGAGAUUACAUGGAAUACCAAUUGCGAAGGCAGGUUACUACUAAUGGAUUGACGCUGAUGGACGAAAGCGUGGGUAGCGAACAGGAUUAGAUACCCUGGUAGUCCACGCCGUAAACGAUGGAUACUAGCUGUUGGAAGCAAUUUCAGCGGCUAAGCGAAAGUGAUAAGUAUCCCACCUGGGGAGUACGUUCGCAAGAAUGAAACUCAAAGGAAUUGACGGGGGCCCGCACAAGCGGUGGAGCAUGUGGUUUAAUUCGAUGAUACGCGAGGAACCUUACCAAGGCUUAAAUGUAGAUUGACCGGUUUGGAAACAGACUUUUCGCAAGACAAUUUACAAGGUGCUGCAUGGUUGUCGUCAGCUCGUGCCGUGGGGUGUCAGGUUAAGUCCUAUAACGAGCGCAACCCCUGUUGUUAGUUGCCAGCGAGUCAUGUCGGGAACUCUAACGAGACUGCCGGUGACAAACCGGAGGAAGGUGGGGAUGACGUCAAGUCCUCAUGGCCCUUAUGGGUAGGGCUUCACACGUCAUACAAUGGUCGGUACAGAGGGUUGCCAAGCCGCGAGGUGGAGCCAAUCCCAGAAAGCCGAUCGUAGUCCGGAUUGCAGGCUGCAACNNNCCUGCAUGAAGUCGGAAUCGCUAGUAAUCGCGGAUCAGCAUGUCGCGGUGAAUACGUUCCCGGGUCUUGUACACACCGCCCGUCACACCAUGGGAGUGGGUUCUGCCAGAA